UGGGGAAUUUUCCGCAAUGGGCGCAAGCCUGAUGCAGCCAUGCCGCGUGUGUGAAGAAGGCCUUCGGGUUGUAAAGCACUUUCAGCGAGGAGGAAGGGUAGUGUGUUAAUAGCACAUUGCAUUGACGUUACUCGCAGAAGAAGCACCGGCUAACUCCGUGCCAGCAGCCGCGGUAAUACGGAGGGUGCAAGCGUUAAUCGGAAUUACUGGGCGUAAAGCGCACGCAGGCGGUUUGUUAAGUCAGAUGUGAAAUCCCCGCGCUUAACGUGGGAACUGCAUUUGAAACUGGCAAGCUAGAGUCUUGUAGAGGGGGGUAGAAUUCCAGGUGUAGCGGUGAAAUGCGUAGAGAUCUGGAGGAAUACCGGUGGCGAAGGCGGCCCCCUGGACAAAGACUGACGCUCAGGUGCGAAAGCGUGGGGAGCAAACA
RNAcentral lists this ribosomal RNA (427 nucleotides) under uncultured bacterium. RNAcentral's name for it is "partial 16S ribosomal RNA". It matches the Rfam family "Bacterial small subunit ribosomal RNA", at positions 355 to 774 of the family's 1533-position model. The record is from RNAcentral.